CUACGGACGGUGCGAGCGUUAAUCGGAAUUACUGGGCGUAAAGCGUACGUAGGCGGUUGGUUAAGUUAGAUGUGAAAGCCCCGGGCUUAACCUGGGAACUGCAUUUAAAACUGGCGAACUAGAGUUGAGUAGAGGGGAGUGGAAUUUCAGGUGUAGCGGUGAAAUGCGUAGAGAUCUGAAGGAACACCAGUGGCGAAGGCGACUCCCUGGACUCGAACUGACGCUGAGGUACGAAAGCGUGGGUAGCAAACGGGAUUAGAAACCCUAGUAGUCC
This 274-nucleotide ribosomal RNA is filed under the name uncultured bacterium. Its description in RNAcentral is "partial 16S ribosomal RNA". It matches the Rfam family "Bacterial small subunit ribosomal RNA", at positions 523 to 796 of the family's 1533-position model. The record is from RNAcentral.